UGACCAAGGAAAAUGCAGUAAAUUUGAUGGUGAGAGUAGGUCCAUUAUUAUAUACGAUGCAUCCACUGUUGAAGAAUUGAAAAAGAACAUAGAAGCGAAGCUUCUUACCCAUUCACCCUUGCUUUCUUCGUGCUGCAUCUUCAGAGUUCCCGAGGUGAUUCGGAGGCAAAAGGAACAGGCCUAUGAACCUAACAUUGUCUCCAUCGGACCUUUCCACCACGGCAAUAAAAAAUUCCAACUCUUUGAAGGUGUGAAACGUUGGUAUUUACAAUGCCUUCUGUCCUCAUGCAAGGAUGUGAGUUUGGAGAGCUUGAUCAAAGUCAUCAUGGAGUUGGCUAAAAGCGCCCGCGACUGUUACGUAGCAGACCCGUUGGAUGGUGAUCUCGAUCAAAAAUACUUUGUAGAAAUGAUGAUACUUGACGGUUGCUUCCUGUUAGAACUAUUUCGGAAGGCACUUCUCUAUGAGCCACAAAAUGAAAACGACCCCAUUUUCAGCGCGUCCUGCAUGCGGACAUAUUUGUGCCAUGACCUUCUGCUGCUAGAAAAUCAGCUACCUUGGUCUGUGCUGGAGUGUUUGUACAACCUGACUGCCAAUAGCCUCAGCCAAAGAGGCGCCUCCCUCACUUCACUUGUGCUCAACUUUUUCAGGCAAUCCGUUGUGGAUAACUUGAUGUUGAACCCCAGCUUCGAGCUCCCAUGUCAGAUUUUGCACAUACUUGAUCUGAUAAGAGCCGUGAUCGUUUCUGGAUUCAAGGAGACGGCGAGUGUGGAAGAGCAGCAUAAAAAGAAGGGGCUAAAUUUGACUCAACGGAUCCCAAAUGCGACAUCUCUUUCAGAGGCAGGCGUUCGGUUCGAAAAAAGCCAAAACAAGGAAGAGGGAAAGGGAGAGUGCAUAAUGAACAUGGAGUUCAAAAAUGGGGUUUUUACAAUUCCACCGUUGGGAAUUGAUGAGAGGACAGAGCCUCUGUUCAGAAACCUUAUCGCCUUUGAACAAUGCCACCACAGUCGCCUGCACAAGAUAACAUCCUACGCAGUUUUGAUGGAUAACCUCAUCGACUCCAGAGAGGAUAUAGAUUUUCUUUGUGACAAAGGAAUAUUGGCCAAUUGGUUGAACCCAGACGAUUCUGCCCAAUUCUUCAACAAGCUUUACGAUGACACCAUUGUCAUGAGGUAUUACUACAGUGGUCUCUCCGACGAUGUGAAUAAAUAUUACAAGACUAAAUGGCACAAGUUUAUGGAAACAUUGAGGCGUGACUAUUUUUCAACCCCAUGGACAAUCAUCUCUUUCAUCGCGGCCUUUAUCCUCCUGAUCCUCACCCUAGUGCAGACGUUAUAUACUAUUCGGUGGCCUUAAUUAAUUUUUUGCUCAAUUUCCUUCAGUACUAUUUACCAAACCUAUAUGUAAUAAUCUGUUUUUGUGUGUGAGCUUUAGAAACUUGUGAACAGCAGUUGCUGGUAGCCUACUUAAUAUUUGUGUGUUCUGUUCUAUUCUAUUCUAAUCAAGGUAAAAACCCACUUAUUUUCUAGUAAAGAAACCUUGCUAUUAUCUUGCC
This 1553-nucleotide long non-coding RNA is filed under the name Prunus dulcis (almond). RNAcentral describes it as "sRNA ncRNA". The record is from RNAcentral. Lineage: Eukaryota; Viridiplantae; Streptophyta; Magnoliopsida; Rosales; Rosaceae.